Molecule: long non-coding RNA, 317 nt
Organism: Sinocyclocheilus rhinocerous
Lineage: Eukaryota; Metazoa; Chordata; Actinopteri; Cypriniformes; Cyprinidae
Exons: 3
Source: RefSeq, a predicted model, not a curated record
UCAUCUCAAUAGUGUGACUUUUUAAGUCAUAAGCAUGACUUUUUUUCUUAUUGUGCGCAAAUGGGCUUCCGUAGUGAGUUCUUCUGUUAAAGUGUGUGAUGUGUCAGUGUGAGGAUGAAGAGGAGGAGAGAUUGAGCAGGACUCCACGCAGAGGAAGAUCCUCCAGAGCAUCUGAUGCUCCACAGAGAGAAACACGCUCUGCUUCACAACCCAAGGAGGCGGAGUCAGUCGUGGAGGAGGAGCCAAAAGAGCAGGGCCGCAGGAAUCGCCACUCCGCAGCUCAGACCAGAGACGCUCCUGCAGGUGACUGUUUGAAU